UCCCGUUUAUCACGGGCAGUUCCCUUAGAGUGCCCGGCAUUACCCGCUGGCAACUAAGGGCGAGGGUUGCGCUCGUUGCGGGACUUAACACAACAUCUCACGACACGAGCUGACGACAGCCAUGCAGCACCUGUGCUGGCGCUCCGAAGAGGGGCCGAUGUUUUCACCGGCUUACACCAGCAUGUCUAGCCCAGGUAAGGUUCUUCGCGUUGCGUCGAAUUGAACCACAUGCUCCACCGCUUGUGCGGGCCCCCGUCAAUUCCUCUGAGUUUUAAUCUUGCGACCGUACUCCCCAGGCGGGGCACUUAAUGCGUUAGCUGCGGCACCCAGGGGGUCAAUACCCCGGACACCUAGUGCCCAUCGUUUACAGCGUGGACUAC
RNAcentral lists this unclassified non-coding RNA (380 nucleotides) under uncultured bacterium. Its description in RNAcentral is "contains 16S-23S intergenic spacer region". The record is from RNAcentral.